Molecule: ribosomal RNA, 479 nt
Filed under: uncultured bacterium
Lineage: Bacteria
Description: partial 16S ribosomal RNA
Rfam family: Bacterial small subunit ribosomal RNA
Source: RNAcentral
GAUGAACGCUGGCGGCGUGCUUAACACAUGCAAGUCGAACGAAGCACCUUGAUUUGAUUCUUCGGAUGAAGAUCUUGGUGACUGAGUGGCGGACGGGUGAGUAACGCGUGGGUAACCUGCCUCAUACAGGGGGAUAACAGUUAGAAAUGACUGCUAAUACCGCAUAAGACCACCGCACCGCAUGGUGCUGGGGUAAAAACUCCGGUGGUAUGAGAUGGACCCGCGUCUGAUUAGGUAGUUGGUGGGGUAACGGCCUACCAAGCCGACGAUCAGUAGCCGACCUGAGAGGGUGACCGGCCACAUUGGGACUGAGACACGGCCCAAACUCCUACGGGAGGCAGCAGUGGGGAAUAUUGCACAAUGGGGGAAACCAUGAUGCAGCGACGCCGCGUGAGCGAUGAAGUAUUUCGGUAUGUAAAGCUCUAUCAGCAGGGAAGAAAAUGACGGUACCUGACGAAGAAGCACCGGCUAAAUACGUG